GCCAGCUUGCCGUUGUUAGUAUUUGCUGGUUCCAAAAAAGAGAAGACAUCAUUUCAUAUUUAAGUUGCACAGAUGCAAGUAUUUAUUUUGACAAUGCCGGUCCUCACCAAUCUUAUAUUGGUUAAUAAGAAAGAAAAAAGAAAA
Molecule: long non-coding RNA, 144 nt
Organism: Cyanistes caeruleus (blue tit)
Lineage: Eukaryota; Metazoa; Chordata; Aves; Passeriformes; Paridae
Source: RefSeq, a predicted model, not a curated record